RNAcentral lists this ribosomal RNA (253 nucleotides) under uncultured bacterium. RNAcentral describes it as "partial 16S ribosomal RNA". It matches the Rfam family "Bacterial small subunit ribosomal RNA", at positions 524 to 776 of the family's 1533-position model. The record is from RNAcentral.
UACGAAGGUGGCUAGCGUUGCUCGGAAUCACUGGGCGUAAAGGGUGCGUAGGCGGGGCUUUAAGUCAGGGGUGAAAUCCUGGAGCUCAACUCCAGAACUGCCUUUGAUACUGAAGAUCUUGAGUUCGGGAGAGGUGAGUGGAACUGCGAGUGUAGAGGUGAAAUUCGUAGAUAUUCGCAAGAACACCAGUGGCGAAGGCGGCUCACUGGCCCGAUACUGACGCUGAGGCACGAAAGCGUGGGGAGCAAACAGG